CUUAUGUCAGUGUAACUUAUGUCUCUCAAGGGGCUGAGUAAAUCACCUCCUUGAGCAACAUAAGUUACACUGCUGUAAGUGCUGGCAUGGACAACCGCUUUCUGAGACUCAAGUAGUUAAGCUGACGGGAGAGCUCUCUCCUGGUGGGCUUAGAGAGGCUACAUUAGAGAGUUUAGAAUGGCACAGGUGCAUAGGUGCAGCUGUGCCACUGUAAACUCUCUAGUGUAGCCGUGGAUGACGAAGUUGGGGAUUUUUGUAGGGUUUUACAUGAAUAGUGUGUGUGUGCCUCAGUUUCCCUGUGUGCUGCAUGUUUAACAAAGUGGUGGGAGAGGGUUUGUUGUUGCAGAGGACCAGCUGCGAGCUUGCCUAGCAGCCAAGACCCCGGACAACAGCCUGGAUAUGGGGUAAACUAAAAACUGGUGACCUGGUGACUAAGAGGCUCACCCCAGCUUGGCCGUCAGCUGGUUUUGGCCAACGGGAGGACAAUGGGCUGAGGAGAGAGGACCCCAGUGACCUGACCAACCAGUUCCAGCCAAAGGGUAAAAAAGGACUGAAGAGAGAAGGCCCGAGCCACCUGUUUACCUGGGACGGAAGACAAAGGAGAGGGGAGGAGCUGUUGGGGGGAGUAUGAUCAGCUGGAAAGAGCAGGGUCCCCGGACUGGAGAGAGAGAGCAGGAAGAGCCCACCUGGAUGUAGGGGAGACUUAGAUGUACUGUGCUGAGGGAGGCCAGACCUGAGGGAACUGAGAAUUUCCUGUGCUGUGUUCAGACGCUCAAUAAAGCCCCCUGUUUUACGCUGGCUAGAGUUGUUCUGGUUUAGAGAACAGGGUUCCAUUAUUCCCUCAGGGAGUGGAGAGCCCGGGGGUCUAGAGCGGGUGAACUCCCUGAGGGGGCAUAUGGCGAGAGAGAGGCAUGCUAAGGCUCAGAGAGGUGCGGUUUCAGGAGGUGGAGGGGCUUAACCCCUAAGGGAGAGUGCACCCCCAAGAAGGGCUGUCACACUGAAGGGGGUUCCCCCCAGGGACCCUACGGGGCCAAGAGUGGGCACGACCUGUGAGUCCGUGACACCGUGCCCUAAAUCAUUUUCUGUUCUUCCGGUCCUUACUCCUUCUCUCUCUUCACCCUCCUGGUGUUCUUUUCUCCUUCUUGUCUCUGUCCCAUAACCUCACUUUUCAUUUCUUUCUCUUUCCCCCUUUUCACUCCUCUUCUUUCACACCUUCCCUUCCCCAUUCUCCCUGUCUCCUCAUUCACUCCUCCCUCUCUUUCUCCUCCCUUCAAUGGAAUGAAAUUGGGCAAUGGGAGCCAUUUCAAGCUGGAUGUAGGAGACCUUUCCGUCCUUUUGUGCUCUUCUGCUUUCUCCCCUCUGUCUCCUCCCCUCACUUCUCCUCUUUUAUCUCAUUCCUCACUUCCCUUCCUUAUUUCUACACCUCUUCUCUCUCAUUCCCCAGAAUCUCUCCCCCUUUACAAAUUAAGGGCCUGGUCUCAAGGCUGUUUCCCGGCAACAUCUGUGGACCCCAAAAUUAGUUUUUCCCUGGAGUACAACAAUUCCAGCCCCAGGGACAGCACCACUGACUUCUGCCUUGUAGGUAGCCAUAGUGCAGGAGACAACAGGGCCACAAUAUGACCCCCAGCCUGCCAGCCCUAUUGGUCAGAGACUACUCCUUUCAAUCCUCUCUCUCUUCAUUAUGGCCAAUACUGAGCUGGGCACAUGUAUUUCAGAUUAGAAAGCAGCAUAAUUUUCUAACAAUGAGCUUGUUAGACUGUUGGAUUGUGCCACUCCACCAUUAACAGCCAGCAGAGGAAGCUAGUACAUGCUUUAGCAGCUCUCACAUAUUCCUCCCAGCAGGGGGCAGUGGUGUAUAGACACACAAGCCAGGCCAUGGCCAGAUGGAUUCUGCAGGGUUCAGUGACAACAAUAACCCCCCGUACUCUCUGCUGAUACUGUCGGGCUUAUGGGAACCAAGAAUAGGACACGCAGCCUUUCACCCCAGGUUACAGGACUGAUUUCACUCAGGCUGGGAGUUACUGACUCUGAAGCUAUUCUGGUCUUUGGUCAUAUCCCAGGUGUAGGUUUCUGAGUGCAGUGCAAUGAAUCGCUCUCUAAAAAAUUGUGUUAUUUCUGAUCCAGGCUUGGUGAUGGACACAAAGAGCCCGAGAAACAGAGACACACAAGGAACUCUGCUUUCACUUGACUGGCUGUACUUCUGUAGACUUGAUUUGACUUCAGUGGGGUUACUCCUCACUUACAUCGGGGACAGUGAGAACAGAAUAAGACCUAAAGAGAGAGAAAACCAGAAACAUGCAGAGAGAGACACAAAUGGAAACACAAAUGGGUGGGGCUGGAGGAUUUGUAGCCCUGUUGGCAGCUGGAGAUCACUUGUAAAGUGUAUUAGCCCAUCCCCUUCACUCCCCCUAAGGGACAGACAGAUGGUAACUCACAUCGUGGAGGAAACAGAACUGGGAGACACUACUGCAGGGAUGUGGAGACAUCUCCUCCCUGUACUGCUCAUCUGGGUCCCAGGUGUGGGCUCAGCAUAUGUGGAGCAGUUGCCCUUCCUUACUGGGAGCCAAGGACAGUCCCUAGUUCUGCAGUGUACACUGAAACAGUCCAACUGUGACCGGAUGUUCUGGUACCGGCAGCAGGGAAGCAGGGAGCUGGAAGGGCUUUUCUACUCUUAUGGAGACCAAUUGGUGAACUUCACAGCCGAGCUCUUGACCGCCCAGAGGAGCAACAAAAACUGGGAACUAAAAUGGAACAAACUUUCACUGUCAGACUCAGCUGUGUAUUACUGCACCUGCAGCACUGCACAGUGACACAAAGCCCUGAGACAGCCAGCAAAAUCCCAGAGAGACAGAGAGAGGGGAGGAAAUAGAGGGAGCUGUGUGUGCUUAGACGUUGGAAGGACAAUGCAGGGGUGUACUUCCAAGAUGAAGUGUCUGGAACAUACAUUGUCUCCAGAAGGAGUGUAAGGGUCAUCAGGAACCCCCACACCAGAUCAGUGACCAUGUUGCACACUUGAGAUGUAAUUGGCUCUAUUAAGAGCAAUGGGAGUUUUGCCCUAAUGGGACCAGGAUUUCAUUGUUGGUCUCUUGAAAUUGGACUUUGAUCACUAUUGCUAACACUUUUCUUUCUUCCUUGACAUUUUCUUCCAUUUCUUUCCUAUUCUCUCUCACUAUUCCCUUUGCUCCAGCUCUCUCACUUUCCAUUUCUUUCUCUUCAUUUUUUCUAUUUCUUUAAAUUAAACCCCCAAAUCCAGUUGCUGGACCCCAACCCUCGCCCUGUGGUUUGGUCUCACUGUGUCUCUGGGGACUGUUCUGACCUGACUGUAAUGCCUUAUUCACAUGAUUGCUGAGCCAUGGAUGUCUAAGCAGGGGGAUAUGGAGUAAGAACAGGGAGGUGGUAUCAGCAAUGCUGUACACAGAGUUGAGACCAUUACUGGAAUUACCUGCCUAGUCCACAAUUCAACAAGGAUGAUGAUAAAUUGGUGAUGAUUCAGAGAAGAGCCACGAGAAUGAUUAAAGGAUUAGAAAACCUGCCUUAUAAUGAUAGACUCAAGGAGCUCAAUCUUAAAAAGAAGGUUAAACGGUGACUGGAUUACAGUCUAUAAAUACCUAUGAUGGGGAAAAUAUUUGAUAUUGGUCUCUUCAAUCUAGCAGAGAAAGGCAUAACCUGAUCCAGUGGCUGGAAGUUGAAGUCACAUAAACUCCGACUGGAAUUAAGGCAUAAUUUUUUAACAGUGAGAGUAAUUAACCCUUGGAACAAUUUACCAGGGGUCAUGGUGGAUUCUUCAGUGCAGCACUGCAAGACAGGAUAGACUGGACAAGGUGCAUUGGUGUACUGUGUUCACAUGAAAUUCUCACUGUAUUCUGGGAGAUGGCAUGCGCCUGAGUUCCUCAAGGUUUAGCAAUUCCUUCUACUGUCCAGGGGGCAGAGCAGUUCCUCUCAGUAUGGGAGUGUCACACACAAACAGCAGGCACGCUGAGCUAGCACAUUUAUCAGUAGUGUUACCUCUGGUCACGCCUAUUUACUAGUACACUCGUCCUCUCCCCUCCCCCAGGAUCUGAAACCCCCUUCCUCCCAGACACCUCCCAGUGAGGAUGCUGACAGGACAUGGAGCUGCUGCAGCUCCUCUCUCUGCUUAUAGGGCUGUUGGCCACUGCCCUCUCAGGUGCAACAGGCAGAUUAGUGGAGCAGUCACCCCCCUAUUUCAUGGUGAGGCCAGAAGUGUCACAGUCAGUGACCUGCACCUUGAAGGACACGACCUACAUCUGGAUGAGCUGGUACUGGCAGGAUGCCCAAGGCCAUCUGCACUUCCUGGUGCAAUCAGGAACCAAGGGUGACAAGGAGGAAAUAAUCCAGGAGGGAACUUCCUAUCGGUAUGAGCGGGUCAGUAACACAGAGCUCAGGUUGGAGAUGCAGAAUGUGACUCAGUCGCAGACCAUCUACUGCACCUGCAGUAAGGGCACAGUGAGAGAUUAGAGUGGAGAUGGUGACAAAAACCUCCCCUAGUUCCAAGAAGGGGGAAUCACAGCCCAGCACCCAGAGUCUGAAACAAAGAGGCUGCAGGGGAACUGAUUAGUUAUCCAGCAGGAAGGAGAUGGAAUAACACCAACUGUGCAGAGACUCGUCAAGGGAGACCCUUUCUCAAUGUCAGGGGCACUGUUAUCAUUUACAUCAACAGCAGCCCACUCUGAACAUGCUGCUAACUCUCUCCUUUAGGUCCCCUCAGGGGUGCUGGAACAGUUUGUAUAGUGGGGGUGCUGAAAGCCUCUGAACCAAACUUUAAACCCUGUAUAUGAUGGAAACCACUUCAAUCCAGGAGGUGCAGCAGCACCCCCAGUUCCAGCACCUAUGGUUCCCCACACACAGGACACACCUGCCCUCUGGUUAUGUGUGCUCUAUUCUGUUUCCCACACACUUUGAUCAGCUCUGCCAGCCGGUCACUAGAGGGAGCCAGGAUAAGAACUGGAAUGCGUUACCUAGGGAGGUGGUGGAAUCUCCAUCCUUAGAGGUUUUUACGGUCAGGCUUAACAAAGCCCUGGCUGGGAUGAUUUAGGUGGUGUUGGUCCUGCUUUGAG
Molecule: long non-coding RNA, 5075 nt
Organism: Chelonia mydas (Green sea turtle)
Lineage: Eukaryota; Metazoa; Chordata; Testudines; Cheloniidae
Exons: 3
Source: RefSeq, a predicted model, not a curated record